This 693-nucleotide unclassified non-coding RNA is filed under the name Hevea brasiliensis (rubber tree). Lineage: Eukaryota; Viridiplantae; Streptophyta; Magnoliopsida; Malpighiales; Euphorbiaceae. The record is from RNAcentral.
UGUGUGUGUGUUGUUUCCUGUUUUCUGUUUGGGACUCUAGCCAUCUCUGUACAAGCUUCUCAAUUUAUGAUCUUAUUCUUUUUGAAAAUGCUAUUUCAUGGAACAACUAAUAGAUGUUUGUUGUUGAAUAGCUUGUUCUCAAGUGAGAACUGCAUUGUUUGUUUUUUAUUGAGAAGAAAUGGUCUUGCAGAAUCUAGAGUGAUCUCUGUUUUUGGGGUGGUUGUGGAAUACAGUCUAGUCAGGCCAUUGGCGAACUUUUUCUUGUUGUCCACUUUAUAUUCAUCAGCUUGUAUUUGAAUUCAUAUAUGACAAUAGGGAGAACUACAUAACAAAAUUAGGUAUCACAGGAAGAUACACCAAUGUUACUGCAUACCUUAUUAAGAAUAGUUAGGCUGAUGAGUAAUGAGCUUGCUUUAAUGCGGAGACCACUUGAAAUGCAAAAUUGAUAUUCUGAAUGCACAAGGUUUUUCUAGUUCUCCACACCUAUGUUCCUAGUUGGAGUUGCAGAAUCUCUACUCUUCACUUCAAAGAUGCUGAUUUGUUUUCAGCUCUUUCAUUGUGUCCUAUUCCAAAAGGAGUUAUUGUCAUUCCUCUAUAUCUGAUGACUUUUGGAAUUAAAAUAUCGGGAGAUUUUCUUUUCUUUCUACAAAAACUUGUAAUCAGAUUUUGAUUGCUUGUUCAGGCUUUUGUUGU